GACCAUGGCUGACUACAGGUCAUGAGAGAGCUACCCAAUAUAGAGGGAGAUAAAAUAUCACAUAUUAGAGAGAGCUUCCAGCUUUAGUGAUAACUAGAGGCCUUGAAAGAGGUUAGGCAUGCCUGACUAAAGAGAUCCAAUUUUAGAGCUAGGAUUAUAUGUUCCAGGAUUACUUGACAUUAGGUAGGGAUCAGUGAAGAGAAAAAGGCAUUCAAGAUCGUUGACAGGAAUAGUCAGCCAGCCAGUACCACAAAAGGGAAUGACCAUUCAGAAUAUAGGAUGUUUUAGAGAAACUUGUGUCCUCAUUUGGAACGCCUAAAGAAGUUUAGUUAGGGAGACUCCGUGGUUAAGAAAAUGGACUCACCAUCCUGGCUUUACAUCCUGGCUCUACCGACCUCUUCUCAGGAUUGCUUGCUCAGAAGGAGAUUCUUCCCUUCUAAUGGGGAGCGCUAACAUCUAUCAUCCAUGUUCCUCCAAGAGGAUUAACUGCUAAUGAAGAAACCCAGCAUCACAAGGCAAUAUGCUUCACCAUUGGUGUAAUAAGUUGCAAUAGGGGUAUAUUACAUCCUGUGAUAUUGGUAAGUAUUAUCAAACUUAAAGCACGCAUAUAAAAGUGUAUCCAUUGAUCGACCCCAGGUCCUCUGGAAUCUAUGGAACGUACUCUAGACCUGAAACCAGGCUUCUCAGAAUUGGUGAGGAGAAAAGAGGAAGCAAAGAUUUGCAAAAUUGAGUAUAUAAUCCACUUCAUGUGACAGAGACCUAGUUGCCUCAUUUGAUAUGGUCUUUCCUUUGGCCUAUGUAGAGCCCUUUCAGUUUCUGCUCCGUGGGAUCUAAGUACUCAAACCUGAGUGUUAAGGCUUUUUUUCCACCAUCUUUGUAAUAAAUUUCACUUUCUAUUAGA
Long non-coding RNA from Felis catus (domestic cat), 901 nucleotides. RefSeq lists it as uncharacterized. The transcript has 3 exons. The record is from RefSeq and is a predicted model, not a curated record. NCBI's taxonomy places the organism in Eukaryota, Metazoa, Chordata, Mammalia, Carnivora, Felidae.